GCUGGGCCGAUCCGAAGCCAGGAAGCCUGAAGAGGAGCUUCGUCUGGGUCUCCCACAUGGGAGCAGGGGCCCAAAUACUUUGGCCAUCCUCCUCUGCUUACCCAGGCACAUUAGCAAGGAGCUGGAUUGGAAGUGGAGCAGCCGGGACUUGAACUGGUGCCCACAUGGAAUGCCUGUGAAUCAGGUGGCAGCUUCACCCACUAUGCCACAGCCCCGGUUCCUAGUAAGCUUUUUAAAAUGUCAUUGUUACGGCCGGCGCCGCGGCUCACUAGGCUAAUCCUCCGCCUAGCGGUGCCGGCACACCGGGUUCUAGUCCCGGUUGGGGCGCUGGAUUCUGUCCCGGUUGCCCCUCUUCCAGGCCAGCUCUCUGCUGUGGCCAGGGAGUGCAGUGGAGGAUGGCCCAGGUGCUUGGGCCCUGCACCCCAUGGGAGACCAGGAAAAGCACCUGGCUCCUGGCUCCUGCCAUUGGAUCAGCGCGGUGUGCCGGCCGCAGCGCGCUGGCCGCGGCGGCCAUUGGAGGGUGAACCAACGGCAAAGGAAGACCUUUCUCUCUCUCUCUCUCACUGUCCACUCUGCCUGUCCAAAAAAAAAAAAAAAAAGUCAUUGUUACUAUGGUUGAUAGUGCAUAAUACUGCUUUUCACUUUUAUAUAUUGAUCUUGUUAUCUUGUGACCUUGCUACGUCUUAAGUUCUAGUAGUUCCUUCUAAGCUAUGUGACUUUUUCUUCCCUUACUGCUCUGGCUAAGCGUUCCAACCCAAUUUUGAAUUUAAGUGGCAAAAGCUGAUAUUCUCUUCUAGUUCAUGAUCUUAAGGUUAAGUUUCUAAUCAUUCACUAUGAUGCAGAAUCUUCAGGUAAUAUGCCUAAAUGUUCUUUAUAGGGUUGAGGAAGUUUCCUUUUCUAACUUCAUGAGUUUUAUCAUAAACAGGUCUUGGAUUUUAUCAAGUAAUUUUUCUGUCAUCAUAUGGCUUUAUUAGUAUGUUACAUUGUAUAAUUUCAAAUGUUAAACCAACUUUUCAUUCCUGGGAUAAAUCCUACUAGGUUAUGAGCUUUUUAUAUGUUGAGAAGUUUGGUUUUUAAAUUCUAACUCAUUUGAUGUUAUUUGAUGAGCCCUUCAUCCUGUCAGACCUUUCAGUACUAACCACAAUUUCAAGUCAGUGGUCUGAGUGAUGAUGCUACUGCUAGUUAUAUCCCCUUUGUGACUUACAGGUUUUGUUCAGUUGCGUGCCUACAAUGUGCCGGACAUCAUGCAGUGUUGGGGAUGCAUUAUAGGACAGAACCAAGCCCAUGUCUUCACAGCACUCAUGAAGACAAUCAAAAGGUCUAAACCAACGGUACUCAUGUGGGGAUGCACCAGAGAACAACCUGCAGUGCUUCAGAGAGAGGGCUGAAUCCACCCACCACAGCUGGUGUCCAUGGCCUGUUGUGGAUGAGGUUCAGGGAUCAAGCUUUUCAAAGGUACAACAAAGGGAUUUCUAGUUUGCUACCAGGGCUGAAAGCCACUGAAUUAAGAGAAGCCUAUACUCCUGUCUGCAUGAGGUGUGUUCUAAGAACCCCCAGUAGGUUCCUGAAACCACUGAAUGUACAAACCUUUAUAUUUGUUUUUUCCUACAUGUUUAUCUAUGAUAAAGCUUGUAAAUGAGGCACAGUAACAGAUCAAGAGAUCAACAAUACUAUGAAAGGUGGAUAUGGUUGUCUGCAGCUACUGCAAAAUGCCAUCUCAUAAGCAAGGUGGCCAGUAAGUAACUUUCGGGCAGCAUCAGGCCUCUGCAGCAUGGCGUGCUGGACAAAGGGAGGAUUCAGGACAAGGAGAGACAUCAUGUUACUCAGAGUACUAGUGCAAUAUAAAACUUAUGAAUUGUUUAGUUUUGGAAUUUACCAUUUUCAUAUUUUUCAGACCCCUGUUGAUUGUGGGUAAGAAACCGCAGAAAAAUGAAACUACAAAUAAGGGCGAAUGCUACCAUAUAUAUGCAGACAUAUGUAUCUAUAUAGAUACCUCAAAGAAAAUUCUUAAGAAACCACCUGCAACUAGUGAGGCUGACCCAAUAAAAUCAAAACUAAAACAGAUGUUGAAUAUAUACAAUUUAUUUAAUAAAUUAAUGUCAUUCAAAAUACAGUGCCAGAACAUUAUGCAGUUGAACAUGCUAGUAAUGUUUGUCAUGAAGCACCUGUGCUCAUGUUAAAUUGGCGGCGCCCCACUACUGCUAGUGGUUCCUGGGAUUAAUGCCAGAGCAGUGCGAGUUACCUGCUCUUCUGCACAGCUUGUGCAGAAAAUUCCUGAACAGUUCACCUUCCUAAUCCUACCCCCACAACACACACACACAACAGGU
Oryctolagus cuniculus (rabbit) is the source of this 2327-nucleotide long non-coding RNA. RefSeq lists it as uncharacterized. The record is from RefSeq and is a predicted model, not a curated record. Lineage: Eukaryota; Metazoa; Chordata; Mammalia; Lagomorpha; Leporidae.